UGUUAAAAAAUUCAUCUAUUUGUAUUGUUAAAAAUUAGUGAGACUGACAGAAUAAUUAAUCAGUGAGAUGUAGUAUGACAUAUGGACCUCAUGCUAACAUAUAUAGAGACAAGCUUUUAACAACAAAACUGGAUGAAAUUUUUAACA
This is a non-coding RNA of Gossypium arboreum, 147 nucleotides long. The record is from Rfam. Lineage: Eukaryota; Viridiplantae; Streptophyta; Magnoliopsida; Malvales; Malvaceae.